This 72-nucleotide transfer RNA is filed under the name Caudoviricetes sp. RNAcentral's name for it is "tRNA-Gln". It matches the Rfam family "tRNA". Rfam says of the family: Transfer RNA (tRNA) molecules are approximately 80 nucleotides in length. Their secondary structure includes four short double-helical elements and three loops (D, anti-codon, and T loops). Lineage: Duplodnaviria; Heunggongvirae; Uroviricota; Caudoviricetes. The record is from RNAcentral.
UGGGCUAUCGCCAAGCGGUAAGGCACAGGGCUUUGACCCCUGUAUUCGCCGGUUCGAAUCCGGCUAGCCCAG